This is a long non-coding RNA of Mesocricetus auratus (golden hamster), 666 nucleotides long. RefSeq lists it as uncharacterized. The transcript is spliced from 3 exons. NCBI's taxonomy places the organism in Eukaryota, Metazoa, Chordata, Mammalia, Rodentia, Cricetidae. The record is from RefSeq and is a predicted model, not a curated record.
CUACCCAGGAGCAGAGAUCUGGGCUUGACGUGUGUGGCCUGUGGAGCUGAGGCCCCACAUAGGAGCCAAGGAUGCACUCAGCCCAUCUGCCCCUCCGUUCUCAGGCUGACCAGGAAGUUCCAGCUCAGAUACCCGCAGUUUACCGAGUUUCGGCUGCUUUGUCAAAAAUUAGGUGUUCCAAUUCACAAGCCCAGAGAGGCUAGUUAAAAAGGUGGACCCUAAGAGGAACACACACGGAGAACCCCAGGAAGGAAAAGUAGAACCUACAUCCAGUAACUGAUGGUAGUAGAUACAGUGACCCACAGCCAAGCACUGGACUGAGCUCCCGGAGUUCAUUUGAAGAGUGGGAGAAGGAAUCGGAUGAACAAGGCGGGGUCAGGAUCAUGGUGGAGAAAACCACAGAAGCAGCUGACCAGAGAUGUAGGGAGAUCGCAGACUAUGGGCUGACAGCCGGAGAGCCUGCAUGGGACCACCAUAGGCCCCCUGAAUGUGGGUGUCAGUUAUGUGGCUUGAUCUGUUGAGGGGGGUCCUGGUAGUGGGACCAGGAGCUAUUCCGGACAUGACUUCGAAUGGUGGGAUGCCUUGCUCAGCCAUGAUACAGGGGCUUGGUCCUGCCUCAACUUGAUAUUCCAGACUUCGUUGACUCCCCAAGGAAGCACUUAUGCC